UAUGUCCAUAGCUUGUGUCUGUCUAAUUGCAGAUGUUGGAGGGACCAGGAAGCCUGAAGAGGAAGUUCCUAGAGGGCACAAUACAUGGCAGACUGUCCUGGAAGCUGGAGGUCAGGGGAGCAUACUUUGCAGAUGAGGCUCCUGUGACACAGGGAAGACAGAAUGAAUGUCGGAACAGAGUCAGAAUGGAGCUCUCAGAUACUGUUCCCGGGCCAUGUGUACCACCAUGCUCCCCACCACGAUGGUAAUGGACUGAACUGUAAGCAAGCCCCCGAUUAAAUACUUUCUUUUGUGAGA
Molecule: long non-coding RNA, 297 nt
Organism: Peromyscus eremicus (cactus mouse)
Lineage: Eukaryota; Metazoa; Chordata; Mammalia; Rodentia; Cricetidae
Exons: 3
Source: RefSeq, a predicted model, not a curated record